GUGAGAGAGAUCUGUUAAGUUUGCUAGGUAGUGAAUUUUCCAGGAAACGAGAACAAAAAUAUCUAAUGGGCAGACCAGAGCGAAAGUGUGAAACUAUAAAUCUUGCCUCCAAAAUUAAGAUAUCACUGAACUGCUAAUCUUGUUGCGUUCUGGUUUUCAGCGGAAAACAAAUCAUUUUCAUCGUUUUAGUAAAAUUUAAUUGAAUUGCUAUGUCCACUCAGCCCAGACUUCCCCAGGACUUCUAUAGCUUUAUUUGCAAAUUGUUUGAUACGAAUAUGAAGAUUUGAACAUCAGUGAAGGUACGUCGAAGCUUUGAAAGAAAAUCCCAUAAAAAGGAUUCAACUAAAAGCUGAAACUCAACUCUCAAAAGUGCAGGGGAAAGGCGUAUUCAAAUAGUCACGCUCGUCAAAGCAUUAGCCUUAAAAUCUCUCUAUUUCGUUCAUCGUUAAAGCAUUUCUCAAGAAUGAUCACGAACAUGCUUUCACCAAACUUUCAAUUUCACCUUCCACAAUCUACCGCUCCUAUCCUCGUUAUUAUGCAAACUAAAUCCAAAAUCAAGCAAUUGCAGUUUCCACUUCAUAAUUAUCUCCGGCUGCGAGAUUUGCUUUGAGCGCACAGUUCAAAGAUUGGCACGACGACAGAGACAGAGAUAAGAACUCCAACUCUGCCAUUCACUGCUUAAUUUUCAAGGAAAACACGUGAACUAUUAAUGCUUCCUAAUUUGGAUGGAUUUAUUCAUAACAAAUCUCAACUGAUAUUAAAGCUGAAAAAUGAUCCAAGAUCGCAACGUAAAUGCAGUUCCGCUUAACAGCUACAUGUAAUCCGAACUAGCAACAAAAACCUCCAAUUACAUAAUGCCUUUGUUGGUAUAGAAAAAAGUAAAUUGGCACAACAAGAGAAACGUAGAUAAGAACUUCAACAGCUGCGAUCACUACUAUAUUUCGAAGGAUAGAAACGAGAACCAUCCAAUCCAUUCUAUCAAACAAG
Molecule: long non-coding RNA, 987 nt
Organism: Cucurbita moschata (crookneck pumpkin)
Lineage: Eukaryota; Viridiplantae; Streptophyta; Magnoliopsida; Cucurbitales; Cucurbitaceae
Exons: 2
Source: RefSeq, a predicted model, not a curated record